Molecule: ribosomal RNA, 410 nt
Filed under: uncultured bacterium
Lineage: Bacteria
Description: bacterial SSU rRNA
Rfam family: Bacterial small subunit ribosomal RNA
Source: RNAcentral
UGUGUGAUGAAGGCCUUCGGGUUGUAAAGCACUUUCGCACGUGACGAUGAUGACGGUAACGUGAGAAGAAGCCCCGGCUAACUUCGUGCCANCAGCCGCAGGUAAUACAGAAGGGGGCAAGCGUUGUUCGGAAUUACGUGGGCGUAAAGGGCAGCAGUAGGCGGUGCAUUAAGUUAGGCGUGAAAGCCCUGGGCUCAACCCGGGAAUUGCGCUUGAUACUGGUGCGCUUGAAUCCAGGAGAGGUUGGUGGAAUUCCCAGUGUAGAGGUGAAAUUCGUAGAGAUUGGGAAGAACGCCGGNGGCGAAGGCGGCCAACUGGACUGGUAUUGACGCUGAGGCGCGAAAGCGUGGGGAGCAAACAGGAUUAGAUACCCUGGUAGUCCACGCUGAAAACNAUGUGUGCUAGCCGUU